RNAcentral lists this ribosomal RNA (394 nucleotides) under uncultured bacterium. RNAcentral describes it as "bacterial SSU rRNA". It matches the Rfam family "Bacterial small subunit ribosomal RNA", at positions 28 to 412 of the family's 1533-position model. The record is from RNAcentral.
GACGAACGCUGGCGGCGCGCCUAACACAUGCAAGUCGAGCGAGAACCGGGACUUCGGUCCCGGGGACAGCGGCGAACGGGUGAGUAACACGUGGAUAACCUGCCCUCGGCACCGGAAUAGCCCGGGGGAGACCCGGAUUAAUGCCGGGUAGCCCCACAUCCCUGCGGGGAACGUGGGAAAAGGUAGCUUCGGCCUCUGGCCGAGGAUGGGUCCGCGGUGGAUUAGCUUGUUGGUGCGGGUAAUGGCCCACCAAGGCGACGAUCCAUAGCUGGUCUGAGAGGACGAUCAGCCACACUGGGACUGAGACACGGCCCAGACUCCUACGGGAGGCAGCAGUGGGGAAUCUUGCGCAAUGGGCGAAAGCCUGACGCAGCGACGCCGCGUGCGGGAAGAA